This 674-nucleotide ribosomal RNA is filed under the name uncultured bacterium. Its description in RNAcentral is "bacterial SSU rRNA". It matches the Rfam family "Bacterial small subunit ribosomal RNA", at positions 68 to 762 of the family's 1533-position model. The record is from RNAcentral.
CUUGAAGCAGUUUCGGCUGUGGAUGGUGGCGGACGGGUGAGUAACGCGUAAAUAACUUGCCCUUUAGACUGGGACAACUGUUGGAAACGACAGCUAAUACCGGAUAUUAUGAAACCUUGGCAUCAAGGGGUUAUGAAAGCUAUAUGCGCUAGAGGAGAGAUUUGCGUCCUAUUAGCUAGUUGGUGAGGUAAUGGCUCACCAAGGCGACGAUAGGUAGCCGGCCUGAGAGGGUGAACGGCCACAAGGGGACUGAGACACGGCCCUUACUCCUACGGGAGGCAGCAGUGGGGAAUAUUGGACAAUGGACCAAGAGUCUGAUCCAGCAAUUCUGUGUGUUUGAUGAAGGCCUUCGGGUUGUAAAGAACUUUAAGUAGGGAAGAAGAAAGUGACGGUACCUACAGAAUAAGCGACGGCUAAAUACGUGCCAGCAGCCGCGGUAAUACGUAUGUCGCAAGCGUUAUCCGGAAUUAUUGGGCAUAAAGCGCGUCUAGGCGGUUUAUUAAGUCUGAUGUGAAAAUGCGGGGCUCAACUCCGUAUUGCGUUGGAAACUGGUAGACUAGAGUAUUGGAGAGGUAGGCGGAACUACAAGUGUAGAGGUGAAAUUCGUAGAUAUUUGUAGGAAGCCAAUUGGGAAGCCAGCUUACUGGACAAUACUGACGCUGAACGCGAAGCUA